CUUUGCUGACGAGUGGCGGACGGGUGAGUAAUGUCUGGGAAACUGCCUGAUGGAGGGGGAUAACUACUGGAAACGGUAGCUAAUACCGCAUAACGUCGCAAGACCAAAGAGGGGGACCUUCGGGCCUCUUGCCAUCGGAUGUGCCCAGAUGGGAUUAGCUAGUAGGUGGGGUAACGGCUCACCUAGGCGACGAUCCCUAGCUGGUCUGAGAGGAUGACCAGCCACACUGGAACUGAGACACGGUCCAGACUCCUACGGGAGGCAGCAGUGGGGAAUAUUGCACAAUGGGCGCAAGCCUGAUGCAGCCAUGCCGCGUGUAUGAAGAAGGCCUUCGGGUUGUAAAGUACUUUCAGCGGGGAGGAAGG
RNAcentral lists this ribosomal RNA (365 nucleotides) under Enterobacter cloacae. RNAcentral's name for it is "bacterial SSU rRNA". It matches the Rfam family "Bacterial small subunit ribosomal RNA", at positions 83 to 451 of the family's 1533-position model. The record is from RNAcentral. Lineage: Bacteria; Pseudomonadati; Pseudomonadota; Gammaproteobacteria; Enterobacterales; Enterobacteriaceae.